CAGAGACAGAGGGAGUUUCUGACCUGAGCUGAAAUCAAGAGUUGGUAUCUUAACCCACUGACUCCCCCUCUGGUAAUUCUUAAGUCUCCAGUAGGAACCAAAGCCUUCUGACAGAGGCCUCCGCAUUUGGCCACCAGCCUCCUUAGGGAUGAAGACGAUGUAGGAUACAGCAAGUUUUGGUUUCCUGGAUAUCACUCCCUUCACUUAGCACAAUGGACUUGGAUGACAGUCAAGAACAUGUCCUGAGCACUGACCUGGCGCCAGCGACCGCACCUCGCCUUGGUAGGGAGGCCAACCAAUGAGCAGGACUGAGUCAGGUAGAAGAGUCGAUAAAACCACCUGAUCGAGGGAAGGCAAGGCAGAGCGGAGC
Long non-coding RNA from Lontra canadensis (Northern American river otter), 370 nucleotides. RefSeq lists it as uncharacterized. The record is from RefSeq and is a predicted model, not a curated record. NCBI's taxonomy places the organism in Eukaryota, Metazoa, Chordata, Mammalia, Carnivora, Mustelidae. The transcript is spliced from 3 exons.